Molecule: ribosomal RNA, 315 nt
Filed under: uncultured eukaryote
Lineage: Eukaryota
Description: partial 18S ribosomal RNA
Rfam family: Eukaryotic small subunit ribosomal RNA
Source: RNAcentral
CCCUUAGAUGUUCUGGGCUGCACGCGCGCUACACUGACGCACGCAACAGGUGCCUGCUCCGAGAGGACUGGGUAAUCAUUUGAGUGUGCGUCGUGAUGGGGAUAGAAUAUUGUAAUUAUUACUCUUCAACGAGGAAUUCCUAGUAAGCGUCAGUCAGCAGCUUGCGCUGAUUACGUCCCUGCCCUUUGUACACACCGCCCGUCGCUCCUACCGAUGGGUGAUCCGGUGAAUGAUUCGGACUUCAGCGGCUCCCCUGGGGUGCGCCGGAGAAAGUUUUGUGAACCUUAUCACUUGGAGGAAGGAGAAGUCGUAACG